UGUGUAGGAUAGGUGGGAGGCUUUGAAGUGUGGACGCCAGUCUGCAUGGAGCCGACCUUGAAAUACCACCCUUUAAUGUUUGAUGUUCUAACGUUGGCCCGUAAUCCGGGUUGCGGACAGUGUCUGGUGGGUAGUUUGACUGGGGCGGUCUCCUCCUAAAGAGUAACGGAGGAGCACGAAGGUUGGCUAAUCCUGGUCGGACAUCAGGAGGUUAGUGCAAUGGCAUAAGCCAGCUUGACUGCGAGCGUGACGGCGCGAGCAGGUGCGAAAGCAGGUCAUAGUGAUCCGGUGGUUCUGAAUGGAAGGGCCAUCGCUCAACGGAUAAAAGGUACUCCGGGGAUAACAGGCUGAUACCGCCCAAGAGUUCAUAUCGACGGCGGUGUUUGGCACCUCGAUGUCGGCUCAUCACAUCCUGGGGCUGAAGUAGGUCCCAAGGGUAUGGCUGUUCGCCAUUUAAAGUGGUACGCGAGCUGGGUUUAGAACGUCGUGAGACAGUUCGGUCCCUAUCUGCCGUGGGCGCUGGAGAACUGAGGGGGGCUGCUCCUAGUACGAGAGGACCGGAGUGGACGCAUCACUGGUGUUCGGGUUGUCAUGCCAAUGGCACUGCCCGGUAGCUAAAUGCGGAAGAGAUAAGUGCUGAAAGCAUCUAAGCACGAAACUUGCCCCGAGAUGAGUUCUCCCUGAGACUUAGAGUCUCCUGAAGGAACGUUGAAGACGACGACGUUGAUAGGCCGGGUGUGUAAGCGCAGCGAUGCGUUGAGCUAACCGGUACUAAUGAACCGUGAGGCUUAACCUUACAACGCCGAAG
RNAcentral lists this ribosomal RNA (808 nucleotides) under Escherichia coli. RNAcentral describes it as "partial 23S ribosomal RNA". It matches the Rfam family "Bacterial large subunit ribosomal RNA", at positions 2135 to 2925 of the family's 2925-position model. The record is from RNAcentral. Lineage: Bacteria; Pseudomonadati; Pseudomonadota; Gammaproteobacteria; Enterobacterales; Enterobacteriaceae.